GAUGAACGCUGGCGGCGUGCCUAAUACAUGCAAGUCGAGCGAACAGAUAAGGAGCUUGCUCCUUUGACGUUAGCGGCGGACGGGUGAGUAACACGUGGGUAACCUACCUAUAAGACUGGAAUAACUCCGGGAAACCGGGGCUAAUGCCGGAUAACAUGUUGAACCGCAUGGUUCUACAGUGAAAGGCGGCUUUGCUGUCACUUAUAGAUGGACCCGCGCCGUAUUAGCUAGUUGGUGAGGUAACGGCUCACCAAGGCAACGAUACGUAGCCGACCUGAGGGGGUGAGCGGCCACCCUGGAACUGAGACACGGUCCAGACUCCUACGGGAGGCAGCAGUAGGGAAUCUUCCGCAAUGGGCGAAAGCCUGACGGAGCAACGCCGCGUGAGUGAUGAAGGUCUUCGGAUCGUAAAACUCUGUUAUUAGGGAAGAACAAAUGCGUAAGUAACUGUGCGCGUCUUGACGGUACCUAAUCAGAAAGCCACGGCUAACUACGU
Molecule: ribosomal RNA, 496 nt
Filed under: uncultured bacterium
Lineage: Bacteria
Description: partial 16S ribosomal RNA
Rfam family: Bacterial small subunit ribosomal RNA
Source: RNAcentral